AGAGUUUGAUCAUGGCUCAGAAUGAACGCUGGCGGCGUGCUUAACACAUGCAAGUCGGACGAGAAAGCCUGAAGCUUGCUUUGGGCGAGUAAAGUGGCGCACGGGUGAGUAACGCGUGGGUAAUCUACCUCCGAAUUUGGGAUAACACUUCGAAAGGGGUGCUAAUACCGGAUGAUAUCCAUUGGGCUUUGGUUUGAUGGAUCAAAGAUAGCCGCUUCAUGAAAGCUAAUGUUUGGAGAUGAGCCCGCGUCCCAUUAGCUGGUUGGUAGGGUAACGGCCUACCAAGGCGACGAUGGGUAGCUGGUCUGAGAGGAUGAUCAGCCACACUGGAACUGGAACACGGUCCAGACUCCUACGGGAGGCAGCAGUGAGGAAUUUUGCGCAAUGGGGGCAACCCUGACGCAGCAACGCCGCGUGAGUGAUGAAGGCCUUCGGGUCGUAAAGCUCUGUCAAGUGGGAAGAACCUGUUUAUUGUUAACAGCGAUAGACACUGACGGUACCACUGAAGGAAGCACCGGCUAACUCCGUGCCAGCAGCCGCGGUAAUACGGAGGGUGCAAGCGUUAUUCGGAUUUACUGGGCGUAAAGGGCGCGUAGGCGGUUGGACAAGUCAGGUGUGAAAUCCCGGGGCUUAACUCCGGAAGUGCAUCUGAAACUGUUCGGCUUGAGUAUGGUAGAGGGAAGUGGAAUUCCUGGUGUAGCGGUGAAAUGCGUAGAUAUCAGGAGGAACACCGGUGGCGAAGGCGACUUCCUGGACCAAAACUGACGCUGAGGCGCGAAGGUGUGGGGAGCAAACAGGAUUAGAUACCCUGGUAGUCCACACAGUAAACGGUGAUCACUAGGUGUUGCGGGUGUUGACCCCUGCAGUGCCGCAGUUAACGCAUUAAGUGAUCCGCCUGGGGAGUACGGUCGCAAGAUUAAAACUCAAAGGAAUUGACGG
Molecule: ribosomal RNA, 939 nt
Filed under: uncultured bacterium
Lineage: Bacteria
Description: bacterial SSU rRNA
Rfam family: Bacterial small subunit ribosomal RNA
Source: RNAcentral